This is a long non-coding RNA of Suricata suricatta (meerkat), 585 nucleotides long. RefSeq lists it as uncharacterized. The record is from RefSeq and is a predicted model, not a curated record. NCBI's taxonomy places the organism in Eukaryota, Metazoa, Chordata, Mammalia, Carnivora, Herpestidae. The transcript has 4 exons.
CAGGCGCCCCAGAGGAAUGCCAUUUUUAAGAGCUACCACACCUAAGGGACCAUAGUGCGGGGACUUAAACAGCGGACGAGAGUCUUCUCACUGCUCUGGAGCCUGGAAGUCUGAGAUCCAGCUGUUGGCAAGAACUGCCGCGCGGUGAUCUUUGCUGCCGGUUGGUGCUGGUGGUCAGGAGAGGAAGGUGGAUGAGAGACAGGGGAGAGGAUGUACUAACUGAACCUCGGAUCUGUGGGGUUGAUCUGCCACCACCCCAAGUCUUUGAAGAUGCUCAGUGAGCUGCUGUGGAGAUGUGUGCCGAGGGAUUGGGGUUUGUAGGUGAGAAACAGAGCGGAGCUGGGGAUGCCACUGGGGUGUGACAGACAGCUGAGCAAGGGUCCACGCAGGAAGCUGUGGGCAGGUGUGAGUGCGGAUGGGUGGUAAGGGUUACUGACCUUGCACGGUCAGCUCGUUCUGCAGUGGCAGUGGAAGAGUGGGCCCCUGCCGCACCCCGGUGCUGACCUCCCACCUCAGCCAUCCAUGUGUGCCACCUGCUCAGGCCUCUCCUGGGUCGUGGCCCACUCCUACCUUUCCAACCCAGUG